Molecule: ribosomal RNA, 255 nt
Filed under: uncultured bacterium
Lineage: Bacteria
Description: partial 16S ribosomal RNA
Rfam family: Bacterial small subunit ribosomal RNA
Source: RNAcentral
UACAGAGGUCCCAAGCGUUUGUUCGGAUUUACUGGGCGUAAAGGGUGCGUAGGUGGCAUGUUAAGUUUGAUGUGAAAGCUCAGGGCUCAACCCUGAAAUGGCAUUGAAUACUAGCGUGCUGGAGGUUUGGAGGGGGGACUGGAAUUCUUGGUGUAGCAGUGAAAUGCGUAGAUAUCAAGAGGAACACCAGUGGCGAAGGCGAGUCCCUGGACAACACCUGACACUGAGGCACGAAAGCCGGGGGGAGCAAACAGG